CGUUGCAGAUCUAACUCAAAACAAUUAACGCGGGCCCGCACAGCGGUGGAGCAUGUNUUUAUUCCAACNACGCGAAGAACCUUACCAGGUCUUGACAUCAUCUGACAAUCGGGGGGAUAGGACGUCCCCUUCGGGGGCAGAGUGACAGGUGGUGCAUGGUUGUCGUCAGCUCGUGUCGUGAGAUGUUGGGUUAAGUCCCGCAACGAGCGCAACCCUUGAUCUUAGUUGCCAGCAUUCAGUUGGGCACUCUAAGGUGACUGCCGGUGACAAACCGGAGGAAGGUGGGGAUGACGUCAAAUCAUCAUGCCCCUUAUGACCUGGGCUACACACGUGCUACAAUGGACAGAACAAAGGGCAGCGAAACCGCGAGGUUAAGCCAAUCCCACAAAUCUGUUCUCAGUUCGGAUCGCAGUCUGCAACUCGACUGCGUGAAGCUGGAAUCGCUAGUAAUCGCGGAUCAGCAUGCCGCGGUGAAUACGUUCCCGGGCCUUGUACACACCGCCCGUCACACCACGAGAGUUUGUAACACCCGAAGUCGGUGAGGUAACCUUUU
Molecule: ribosomal RNA, 553 nt
Filed under: Bacillus velezensis
Lineage: Bacteria; Bacillati; Bacillota; Bacilli; Caryophanales; Bacillaceae
Description: bacterial SSU rRNA
Rfam family: Bacterial small subunit ribosomal RNA
Source: RNAcentral